This 303-nucleotide ribosomal RNA is filed under the name uncultured Chlamydomonadales. Its description in RNAcentral is "partial large subunit ribosomal RNA". It matches the Rfam family "Eukaryotic large subunit ribosomal RNA", at positions 40 to 350 of the family's 3401-position model. Lineage: Eukaryota; Viridiplantae; Chlorophyta; Chlorophyceae; Chlamydomonadales. The record is from RNAcentral.
AUAUCAAUAAGCGGAGGAAAAGAAACUAACAAGGAUUAGCCUAGUUACGGCGAGUGAAACGCUAAUAGCCCAACUUGAAAAUCUCCCUGUGAGAAUUGUAGUCUAGAGAAGCGCCCUCUGCGGCAGCCGGAGCCCAAGUUCGCUGGAAGGCGGCGUCAGAGAGGGUGAUAACCCCGUCGGCUCUAGGUUUGCUGCUCCACGAGGUGCUUCCGAAGAGUCGUAUUGUUUGGGAAUGCAGUACAAAAUGGGAGGUAAAUCCCUUCUAAGGCUAAAUACUGACGAGAGACCGAUAGCGCACAAGUA